AACGGAUAUCUUGGCUCUCGCAUCGAUGAAGAACGUUGCGAAAUGUGAACUUGGUGUGAAUUGCAGAACCCCGCGAACCAUCGAGUCUUUGA
RNAcentral lists this ribosomal RNA (92 nucleotides) under Schoenocaulon comatum. RNAcentral's name for it is "5.8S ribosomal RNA". It matches the Rfam family "5.8S ribosomal RNA", at positions 11 to 103 of the family's 154-position model. From Rfam's summary of the family: 5.8S ribosomal RNA (5.8S rRNA) is a component of the large subunit of the eukaryotic ribosome. It is transcribed by RNA polymerase I as part of the 45S precursor that also contains 18S and 28S rRNA. The record is from RNAcentral. Lineage: Eukaryota; Viridiplantae; Streptophyta; Magnoliopsida; Liliales; Melanthiaceae.